This 75-nucleotide transfer RNA is filed under the name Halapricum salinum. It matches the Rfam family "tRNA". From Rfam's summary of the family: Transfer RNA (tRNA) molecules are approximately 80 nucleotides in length. Their secondary structure includes four short double-helical elements and three loops (D, anti-codon, and T loops). Further hydrogen bonds mediate the characteristic L-shaped molecular structure. tRNAs have two regions of fundamental functional importance: the anti-codon, which is responsible for specific mRNA codon recognition, and the 3' end, to which the tRNAs corresponding amino acid is attached (by aminoacyl-tRNA synthetases). tRNAs cope with the degeneracy of the genetic code in two manners: having more than one tRNA (with a specific anti-codon) for a particular amino acid; and 'wobble' base-pairing, i.e. permitting non-standard base-pairing at the 3rd anti-codon position. Lineage: Archaea; Methanobacteriati; Methanobacteriota; Halobacteria; Halobacteriales; Haloarculaceae. The record is from Rfam by way of RNAcentral.
GGGCGCGUAGCUCAGUCCGGACAGAGCAUCGGACUUCUAAUCCGAUGGUCGUGGGUUCAAAUCCCGCCGCGCCCG